AACCCGUUAGGCCUAAAUCCUUUAAUUCGAUUUGGGUGAGUCCGAUGAAGGAUUGAUUCAAGCCCAAUCGAGUUAAAUGGGUUAAAUUAAACCCAAUUGAGCUGGGCCUGAACCCCCAUUUAUGCAAUAGUAAUCCCAGCAGGCCCAAUUAAUUGUAAAUCAGGCCCAGUCCAAGCUAAUUAAAUUGGCAGAGGGCCUAAUUGGCUGAAAGAGGCUGGACUUAGUUUUAAAUCAGGCCCAGCCCUGUCAUUAAAAAGCCCAAUUAACCAUAUGGACCCA
RNAcentral lists this long non-coding RNA (279 nucleotides) under Phoenix dactylifera (date palm). Its description in RNAcentral is "long non-coding RNA (PDAC_LNC006251)". The record is from RNAcentral. Lineage: Eukaryota; Viridiplantae; Streptophyta; Magnoliopsida; Arecales; Arecaceae.